Molecule: transfer RNA, 76 nt
Filed under: Actinomycetes bacterium
Lineage: Bacteria; Bacillati; Actinomycetota; Actinomycetes
Description: Actinobacteria bacterium tRNA-Met
Rfam family: tRNA
About the family: Transfer RNA (tRNA) molecules are approximately 80 nucleotides in length. Their secondary structure includes four short double-helical elements and three loops (D, anti-codon, and T loops).
Source: RNAcentral
GGGCCCGUAGCUCAGCGGUCAGAGCAGGCGACUCAUAAUCGCUCGGUCGUGGGUUCGACCCCCACCGGGCCCACUA